UACAGAGGUCCCAAGCGUUGUUCGGAUUCAUUGGGCGUAAAGGGAGCGUAGGUGGCCUUAUAAGUCAGUGGUGAAAUCUCUGGGCUUAACCCAGAAAUUGCCAUUGAUACUGUAGGGCUUGAGUACAGUUGCUGUGGGCGGAAUAUGACAUGUAGUGGUGAAAUACAUAGAGAUGUCAUAGAACACCGAUUGCGAAGGCAGCUCACAAAACUGUAACUGACACUGAGGCUCGAAAGUGCGGGGAUCAAACAGG
RNAcentral lists this ribosomal RNA (253 nucleotides) under uncultured bacterium. RNAcentral's name for it is "partial 16S ribosomal RNA". It matches the Rfam family "Bacterial small subunit ribosomal RNA", at positions 524 to 776 of the family's 1533-position model. The record is from RNAcentral.